CAACAACCUCCCUUUAACUCAGUUUCACAAACAAUUACAAAGAGCAGCUGCAUUCGUUUCCACAGUUAGAGUUUAAAAAUCUGUAAUGAUCCCCAACAGAAUAGAGGUGCAGGGGGUGAGAGUGAGGAAGGAGAGGAUUCUUCCGGUUCAGAUGUCCGUCCCCAGCCACCUGCUGAUUGUGCUAAUCCCGGGAGCCUUGGGCACAGACAUGGAGCCACAAUAAGCUAUUGCCAGUCCUGGUGUUUGGCUUCCCCCUCACCCCCCUUCUGGCUUAGAGUUUCUCAUCUGUCAAGAUUCAUUAACAUGGUGAUGAAGAUUUAUGAAGGGCAAGGUCAGCAAAACUGCAGACUACAAGAUCACUAGGCUGACAAGUCCUAAGAUCUGCAGGCAGCAGACUGGAGACUCGGGAGAACUGAUGGUGUAGUUCCAGAUCAAAGGCCAGCAGGCUCGAGACUGAGGAAGAGCCAUUAUUUCAACUGGAAUCCCAAGGCAGGAAAAAACUAAUGACCCAGCUUGAAGGCAGUCAGAUCAUAAAUGGAAGCCUGAGGAGCCAAAACCCAAGGAUGUGCUGGGAACUCCACUGAGAGGUGAUCUCUGACCACUGGAUCACUUUCUUCUAGAGGACUCUGACUGAUUAAAAAAAAAAAAAAAAAAACUCAAUAAAGACUUGUUGAAAGGCUGCUGAAUGAAUGAAAAGUCUUGGCAUCCUUUGGAAAUUUGACUGAUUGACUUUGGCACUGGAACAGCCAUGGAAGAGACACUAAAGGAGGAAAGGCUAGAAGUCAGCACCAAGAAGAUAACUCUGAGUCUCACUCUGUACCCAGGCUGGAGUGCACUGGAGCAAUCAUAGCUCACUGCAGCCUCGACUUCCCAGGUUCAAGCAAUCUUCCUGCCUCAGCCUCCCAAGAAGCUGGGAGUACAGAUACAUGCCACCGCGCCCAGCUAAUUUUUUUUUUAUUUUUAUUUUUUGUAGAGAUGGGGGUCUCACUCUAUUACCCAGGCUGGUCUCGAACUCCUGGGCUCAAACAAUCUAUCCAUCUUGACCUCCCAAAACUCUGGGAUUAUAAGAAUGAGCCACCAUGCCCAGGGGUUGAAUACUUUUCUGCUGGUAAAAUAUGGUGCUUGAAACAGAGCAGAAUGCCGGUAUGAUUGUGCUUGUAUGUGAGGUGGCAGAGUAAGGAAAGCAUUUAAAUCAUUGUUGAAUUCUAACUUUCUACUGAUUAACUUGCCUAGCUUUUCUGAGCUUACUCAUCUAGAAAAUUGACAGAAACUCCAUGGAGAAGUUAUAAAUACAUAUAAAGAUAUGACUUAUGUAAAGUGCUUACCACGGUGCACGACAUAGUAUUUGCUCAAUAAAUGUUCAUUUCUCUCCUGUUUUUCUCUCCUGUUUCAUUUUCUUUGUCUCUCUUCUUUCUUAUUGAAGUUCCACA
Molecule: long non-coding RNA, 1430 nt
Filed under: Homo sapiens (human)
Lineage: Eukaryota; Metazoa; Chordata; Mammalia; Primates; Hominidae
Description: HSALNT0244686
Source: RNAcentral